This 234-nucleotide non-coding RNA is filed under the name Tribolium castaneum (red flour beetle). RNAcentral's name for it is "Archaeal large subunit ribosomal RNA". It matches the Rfam family "Bacterial large subunit ribosomal RNA", at positions 2413 to 2642 of the family's 2925-position model. Lineage: Eukaryota; Metazoa; Arthropoda; Insecta; Coleoptera; Tenebrionidae. The record is from Rfam by way of RNAcentral.
UAGUGAAUUGUUGAUCCUGAAUUUUGGAUUAAAAGAUUAAAUUACCUUAGGGAUAACAGCGUAAUUUUUUUUGAAAGUUCACAUUUACAGAAAAGUUUGCGACCUCGAUGUUGGAUUAAAAUUAAUUUUCGGUGUAGAAGCUGGAAUAUUGGGUCUGUUCGACCUUUAAAAUUUUACUCGAUCUGAGUUUAAACCGGCGUGAGCCAGGUUGGUUUCUAUCUUUUAUUUAUGUUA